Molecule: ribosomal RNA, 367 nt
Filed under: uncultured bacterium
Lineage: Bacteria
Description: bacterial SSU rRNA
Rfam family: Bacterial small subunit ribosomal RNA
Source: RNAcentral
GACGAACGCUGGCGGCGUGCUUAACACAUGCAAGUCGAACGGUAAGGCCCCUUCGGGGGGUACACGAGUGGCGAACGGGUGAGUAACACGUGAGCAACCUGCCCUUGACUUCGGAAUACCAGCUGGAAACAGCUGCUAAUACCGGAUAUGACUCCGACCGUCCUCGAUCGGGGUGGAAAGCUCCGGCGGUCAGGGAUGGGCUCGCGGCCUAUCAGCUUGUUGGUGAGGUAAUGGCNCACCAAGGCUUCGACGGGUAGCCGGCCUGAGAGGGCGACCGGCCACACUGGGACUGAGAUACGGCCCAGACUCCUACGGGAGGCAGCAGUGGGGAAUAUUGCACAAUGGGCGCAAGCCUGAUGCAGCAACG